AUAGGAUAGAUAGUCAGGUAUAGGAUAGAUAGUCAGGUAUAUGAUAGAUAGUCAGGUAUAUGAUAGAUAGUCAGGUAUAGGAUAGAUAGUCAGGUAUAGGAUAGAUAGUCAGGUAUAGGAUAGAUAGUCAGGUAUAUGAUAGAUAGUCAGGUAUAGGAUAGAUAGUCAGGUAUAGGAUAGAUAGUCAGGUAUAGGAUAGAUAGUCAGGUAUAGGAUAGAUAGUCAGGUAUAGGAUAGAUAGUCAGGUAUAUGAUAGAUAGUCAGGUAUAGGAUAGAUAGUCAGGUAUAGGAUAGAUAGUCAGGUAUAGGAUAGAUAGUCAGGUAUAGGAUAGAUAGUCAGGUAUAGGAUAGAUAGUCAGGUAUAGGAUAGAUAGUCAGGUAUAGGAUAGAUAGUCAGGUAUAGGAUAGAUAGUCAGGUAUAGGAUAGAUAGUCAGGUAUAGGAUAGAUA
This is a long non-coding RNA of Oncorhynchus keta (chum salmon), 449 nucleotides long. RefSeq lists it as uncharacterized. NCBI's taxonomy places the organism in Eukaryota, Metazoa, Chordata, Actinopteri, Salmoniformes, Salmonidae. The transcript has 3 exons. The record is from RefSeq and is a predicted model, not a curated record.